Non-coding RNA from Danio rerio (zebrafish), 285 nucleotides. Lineage: Eukaryota; Metazoa; Chordata; Actinopteri; Cypriniformes; Danionidae. The record is from Rfam.
GUCUAAGUGCACACGGCCGGUACAGUGAAACUGCGAAUGGCUCAUUAAAUCAGUUAUGGUUCCUUUGAUCGCUCCAUCCGUUACUUGGAUAACUGUGGCAAUUCCAGAGCUAAUACAUGCCAACGAGCGCCGACCCAGUCCCAUGUUGUUAGUAUACAACAUGCUAGUCAUGUUAACAUGCUAAAAUAAUAGUCACAAUAACACUCUAACAACAAGCUUAAGUCAUGUUAACAUGUUAAAGUCAUGCUAACAACAUGCUAAAGUCACGCUAACAACAUGUUAAAG